AUUCUAUGACUCACGAGCUGGGAAGAUGAAUUUGUGUCCUACACCAAGACCUGACCAAAGCUGCACUUGCAGGGGAAAAACAAACAAACAAACAAACAAACAAAAAAAGGGAAGAAGAAGAAAGAAGGAAGCUUGAAAAGGCAGUCACUGAAGUUCAUGCUUUGGAAUGGAAAAAACAAAUACGCAAAGCGGAGCUAUUUUGGCUAUGCACAAACAGAGCACGAACGAUGCACACGAAACGGCGAAGCAAAGCGCUCCGCAACGAAACACGGGCAGCCAAACCCUCGCUGCCCACGCGCAGCAGCGUUAAAACCGCAGCGCCCAGCCGGCACAGCACGAGCGGCGCGCGCCCGCGCCCGGCCCCGCCCCGCGCCUCCCCAUUGGCCCCCAGCUGUGACGUCACCGUGUUGCUGGGUGGAAAAGCGGUGACGCGGCGCGGGCGCGCGAAUGCGCCGAGUGUAGAAUGAAUGGGACAGGGGGCGAAGGGCGCGGGGCCGGAACGUGCAGCCCGAGGAAGCUGGGCUGCGCACGGCAGAGAGGGAGAAGCCGGUGUCAGGUCUGCCCCGCCUCUGCGGGGCGCUCCCGUUGUGCUCCCUGCACAACUGGAUCACACUGUUGUGCUGUACAAAGGCAUCACUCUGCUUAUAAAACAAUUGUUUCCCCGAUUCUGCUGCCCAGCAUCUUCCUGAAUCUGUGUCAAUAUAAAUGCUUCUGCAGCAAGAGCAGCCGGGCAGUUACCCAGAGGAGUGUUUCUUUAAGGCUGAAUUGCAGAAUUCAAGAUUUCUCCUGUCCAGGAAUGUUCCUGGCAUUUUGCUGGUGUUCGAUGAAAGAAGAAACAUGCCAUGCAGACAAGCCUUCAGCGCUGAGCCUGUUUUGCUGGGGAGGAUCCCAUGUGCUGACUGCCUUUGCUCACACGUCUAAUUGCUUCUUGUGGGUACCUUCUGAGAAAACCUUGCUUGCACUGACAACCUGUUUUUUCAGGGUGUAA
RNAcentral lists this long non-coding RNA (988 nucleotides) under Phasianus colchicus (ring-necked pheasant). RNAcentral describes it as "lncRNA (ENSPCLG00000001174.1)". Lineage: Eukaryota; Metazoa; Chordata; Aves; Galliformes; Phasianidae. The record is from RNAcentral.